This 85-nucleotide transfer RNA is filed under the name Felis catus (domestic cat). It matches the Rfam family "tRNA". From Rfam's summary of the family: Transfer RNA (tRNA) molecules are approximately 80 nucleotides in length. The record is from Rfam by way of RNAcentral. Lineage: Eukaryota; Metazoa; Chordata; Mammalia; Carnivora; Felidae.
GCCUGGAUGGCUCAGUUGGUUGAGUGUUUGACUUCAGCUCAAGUCACAAUCUUACGGUUUGUGAGUUCGAGCCCCACAUCGGGCU